UGACUCGUGCUGCUUUCUUUAUCUUACUGA
Molecule: non-coding RNA, 30 nt
Filed under: Mus musculus (house mouse)
Lineage: Eukaryota; Metazoa; Chordata; Mammalia; Rodentia; Muridae
Source: RNAcentral